This 443-nucleotide ribosomal RNA is filed under the name uncultured bacterium. RNAcentral describes it as "bacterial SSU rRNA". It matches the Rfam family "Bacterial small subunit ribosomal RNA", at positions 958 to 1398 of the family's 1533-position model. The record is from RNAcentral.
AACGCGAAGAACCUUACCUGGGCUAGAAAACGUGCGAACCUGGUAGAAAUAUCGGGGUGCUCUUCGGAGAACGCAUGGUUAGGUGCUGCAUGGCUGUCGUCAGCUCGUGUCGUGAGAUGUUGGGUUAAGUCCCGCAACGAGCGCAACCCUUAUCCCUAGUUGCCAUCGGGUCAAGCCGGGCACUCUAGUGAAACCGCUUCGGAUAACGGAGAGGAAGGUGGGGAUGACGUCAAGUCCUCAUGGCCUUUAUGUCCAGGGCUACACACGUGCUACAAUGGCCGGUACAAACCGUCCCAAACCCGCGAGGGGGAGGCAAUCGGAAAAAGCCGGCCUCAGUUCGGAUUGGAGUCUGCAACUCGACUCCAUGAAGCUGGAAUCGCUAGUAAUCGCGGAUCAGAACGCCGCGGUGAAUACGUUCCCGGGCCUUGUACACACCGAGUAUA